CAGUCGCCGCGGUAAUACGAAGGGGGCUAGCGUUGCUCGGAAUCACUGGGCGUAAAGGGUGCGUAGGCGGGUCUUUAAGUCAGGGGUGAAAUCCUGGAGCUCAACUCCAGAACUGCCUUUGAUACUGAAGAUCUUGAGUUCGGGAGAGGUGAGUGGAACUGCGAGUGUAGAGGUGAAAUUCGUAGAUAUUCGCAAGAACACCAGUGGCGAAGGCGGCUCACUGGCCCGAUACUGACGCUGAGGCACGAAAGCGCGGGGGGCAAACAGGAUUAGAUACCCCCGUAGUCCCUGUCUCUUAUAC
Molecule: ribosomal RNA, 301 nt
Filed under: uncultured bacterium
Lineage: Bacteria
Description: partial 16S ribosomal RNA
Rfam family: Bacterial small subunit ribosomal RNA
Source: RNAcentral